This 32-nucleotide ribosomal RNA is filed under the name uncultured Termitomyces. RNAcentral's name for it is "partial 28S ribosomal RNA". The record is from RNAcentral. Lineage: Eukaryota; Fungi; Basidiomycota; Agaricomycetes; Agaricales; Lyophyllaceae.
UUGACCUCAAAUGCAGGUGAAGGACUACCCGC